This 392-nucleotide ribosomal RNA is filed under the name uncultured bacterium. Its description in RNAcentral is "partial 16S ribosomal RNA". It matches the Rfam family "Bacterial small subunit ribosomal RNA", at positions 523 to 918 of the family's 1533-position model. The record is from RNAcentral.
AUACGGAGGAUCCGAGCGUUAUCCGGAUUUAUUGGGUUUAAAGGGUGCGCAGGCGGCCAUUUAAGUCAGCGGUUAAAUCGUGGGGCUCAACCCCAUUCUGCCGUUGAUACUGGGUGGCUUGAUUGCGGUCGAGGUUGGCGGAAUUCGUUGUGUAGCGGUGAAAUGCAUAGAUAUGACGAAGAACACCGAUUGCGUAGGCAGCUGACCAGACCGCAAAUGACGCUCAUGCACGAAAGUGCGGGGAUCGAACAGUAUUAGAUACCCUGGUAGUCCGCACAGUAAACGAUGAAUACUUGUUUUCGGCGAUAUAAUGUCGGAGGCAAAGCGAAAGCGAUAAGUAUUCCACCUGGGGAGUACGCCGGCAACGGUGAAACUCAAAUGAAUUGACGGGG